Long non-coding RNA from Neodiprion virginianus, 2654 nucleotides. RefSeq lists it as uncharacterized. The transcript is spliced from 3 exons. Lineage: Eukaryota; Metazoa; Arthropoda; Insecta; Hymenoptera; Diprionidae. The record is from RefSeq and is a predicted model, not a curated record.
CUGACGGUGUGUGAUCCGCCUAGGUGGCCACGUUGAAGAGGAUCGUAUUUUUGCUUGCACUGGAAUUGUGGACUCCGCUACUCGUCAUGACAAGAGGAACUUAGCGCCACUAAAGAAUUUCAUCUGAUGCAGGCUUGAGACUAGCUUACAACUUUUGUCCCCAGUCGUCACCUCGAUUCUUGAAUUUUCUAAUUAGCGUGUCGUCAAUUAUAGCACUUAGAGAUGCCCCAGUGACCCAGUUAAUAAAGUAGCACUAGGUACUGUAUACAAUGCGUUUUCCAAAUUCUCUCCUCCACUUUAUCACCUCGCAUUAUUCAGUUAUUUUACAAUAAAUACUUCGUCAUUCGUCUGUGGAUCGUCAUGACGUUGGUCAACCGAAUCUUCGACCAAGGCUUGCCUCGCCCAUGGAAACGCGUAAUGGACGAAGUCGAUCAACAGCACCGCGGCAUUGAUCAGACACGAAAUGGCCAAAAUCAGUUCUUGCCACCUAAAAAUCCCAAAAAAUCAGGCAUCGAGACUAAAAGACAUUGCGAAUCAGCAAAAAGCAUCUACAACGUCUUACCCAAUUGUUCUGGCGUCUCCUACUACACUGCUGAACCACGAUGCCCAUUGAUAUAUCUCGAACACCCCGCAUAUGAAACUCACGAUGCAUCCCAAGCCGGCAAACACCAUUUCCUACACUUGGCAAGAUUAGUGAAUGGGGUUAUAAUGCGCUUGGAGAAGUUAAUUGACAGGUUUAUUAUGCAGUCAAGUUCACAGUUGGCUUCCUUUAGAGAUACGUGAGACGAAGUACUCACUAUGAAAGUAUGUGGACGUCCCAUCGCGCUCACGGAUAUUUCGGAGAAGUUGACGAUUAUGUACCCGCUAACAAAUGAUGGUAUCAGGAUCCUGAUCCAGUUCGGAUAAAAGACGAGGACUGGUUGGACGUAGCCAUAGGAGGCUAGACAACAACAGCACUAGGAUCAACCAUUGAGGGUUAUCUCACCAAGGAAAUAAAUUUGCACGCCAAGGAUACGUUCAUCAAUCAGUCAAGACUUCCACGUGCAGUUUUACUCCGAGCACCCCAUUGACACAUUCUUGAAAGGCUGAUAAACUCGUUUUAUUCAUUCACGAAGGAUGCACCAAAAAAAAAAAAAAAAUGUUACGGGACGAAGGCAGGAAUUAUAAUCAGCUGUCGAAGAUUUAUUACCGCAUUGGCAUGUGAGUUUUGCAGAGGUUCAGUUUUGUUUUGGCGUCGAGUCGGCUUGUGGCAGGCGCGAACGAUAAGUCAGGGUGACGGACCUUUACGCAAAAUAUUUAUUCUGUAUAGGUAUGGAACAGUAUUUUUUUCCAACAUACCCGCAUCGCGUUUCUUAACAGGCUUUGUAAAAAUGGUUGCGAGGGCGUUCGAGCUUCUGAAAAAUCCCAACUUCGUGCUGAAGAUUGUAGAGCUGGUAUUGUGCUCGAAACCAUGACUCUGCCCAACGUUUAUUUCUAUACUGUUCGCGAAAUUGACAAUCAUUUGUAAUUUCUUAACAGGUCCUAGUCCUGGUUGGUUUCGUCUUGGUAUUGCUUCAGGAUAGAUUCACCUGGCCAAAUAGCUUGACGAUGGUAUUUUGCAUAGACACAGGAACCUAUACGAUCAUAUUGAUGGUUAUUUUGCUAGCCUAUGUGCUAGAGCAGCCACAUCAGCUGAUCGUUAGUUUACAGUAAAAAAAAGAAUGAGCUCUGCCGGAAGUGGAAACUGCAAUGUUUUAUAAAAGAAAUUCUUAUGAAAGGAAUUGAGGUUCACGGUUAUUGGCGUCGUCGUCUUCGUGAUUGGCAGUAUCAUGGCGUUUCGUAACUACGAAGAAGUGCAAGAUGGGUCAGACGGGAAAGUUUCAAUGCUCGAUUUCCAUCUGGGCAUCAUCCUCUCGGUCACAGCUAUUGUCAUGGUCUUCGACACAUUCCUCGGCAUGAAAUAUAUCGGCGAUGUCAUGAGCCGAGACUGAAUUUCAGUACGAUGCUGGACGCCGACGAUUCAAUAAUGACUGGUUAAUUUUUUUCUCUUGAAUGAUUAUUAAUGUUACAUUAUCAUAGCCAGAUACAAUGGAAACAGUAAGAAAUAGAAAAAGCAAAUGUUCGGUCAGGAAUGUUUUUUACUUAUAGACAUAUCUGAAGAUCUUUAUUUCUCAUUAUCUUUGAAGCAUUUAUGGAGCAUCAGGUGGUCUCGGUGUAUCGCGAUUUCCUCCUGACCCCAUCUUCAUCCUCGUCCUCAUCAUCGUUUGAGCUGUGCGUCUCAAUUACUUUUGGUGUAGAAUUGCAUGUCAGGUCCAGAACCAUGGUGAUGGAGCAUGCUUAAAAACUCAAUAUUAUGUAAAUACCAUCAACUUUCUUUAAAAUAACGACCAAUUAUUCAUCUGCUUACCGUACAUCCAGAAAGCCAACAUUCCCUCGGACACGUAGGAGUAGGGCUUUCCAUCUUUCGUCUCUCUCUCUUGGAAGACGAAAACUCUGAGCACCAUCAAAGUAGCUGAUAUGAAAUUGAGGGCUGCUCCCAAGCCCGUGAAGAGAACGGACUAUGUUAAGAAACAAUGUCACAAGAAAAUGAAUGGUCAAACGAUUUUACGGUUCUUACCACAAAAUACUGCGGCUUUCCAGACAGUCCAACGCAUAUCAGUGCAAUUGAUAUUAAG